GACGAACGCUGGCGGCGUGCUUAACACAUGCAAGUCGAACGGAGAGGCCAUGCUUUUGUGGGGUGCUCGAGUGGCGAACGGGUGAGUAACACGUGAGUAACCUGCCCUUGACUUUGGGAUAACUUCAGGAAACUGGGGCUAAUACCGGAUAGGAGCUCCUGCUGCAUGGUGGGGGUUGGAAAGUUUCGGCGGUUGGGGAUGGACUCGCGGCUUAUCAGCUUGUUGGUGGGGUAGUGGCUUACCAAGGCUUUGACGGGUAGCCGGCCUGAGAGGGUGACCGGCCACAUUGGGACUGAGAUACGGCCCAGACUCCUACGGGAGGCAGCAGUGGGGAAUAUUGCACAAUGGGCGGAAGCCUGAUGCAGCAACGCCGCGUGCGGGAUGACGGCCUUCGGGUUGUAAACCGCUUUCGCCUGUGACGAAGCGUGAGUGACGGUAAUGGGUAAAGAAGCACCGGCUAACUACGUG
This 468-nucleotide ribosomal RNA is filed under the name uncultured bacterium. Its description in RNAcentral is "partial 16S ribosomal RNA". It matches the Rfam family "Bacterial small subunit ribosomal RNA", at positions 28 to 507 of the family's 1533-position model. The record is from RNAcentral.